This 675-nucleotide long non-coding RNA is filed under the name Monodelphis domestica (gray short-tailed opossum). RNAcentral's name for it is "lncRNA (ENSMODG00000032189.2)". Lineage: Eukaryota; Metazoa; Chordata; Mammalia; Didelphimorphia; Didelphidae. The record is from RNAcentral.
GGGUUCUAAUGAUAAACUGUGAGGAACUGUGGCUUCUAUCAUGAAUGCUGGCAUCAACAGCCAUCCAGGGUGAUCUUACCAAUAUUGAUUGGUUGGUUGACAUCAUUUAGCUUUUACAAAGGGAUAUUUACUGAUAAGAUAGACAAGGACAAAUGUUACUAAAAUAUAUACCUCAUGCUAAGGAUGAACACUCCCAGUGUACACAAGUUCCCAGUGGAGAGUGGGCUCAAAUUCACAGAAGAAAGAGAGUGAGGGACGAAAAAGGAACUGCCAUCUCCCCUCCUCCAACAUCCCUAGCACACUAUACAAAGCAGCUCCUGAAAGCCCUGCUGAACUUUCUUUGGGCACCUCCCAGGCAGCCUGGCUGUGGCAGACCCCAUAAAACAGCCAGCCAUGGAGAGUGGGCGUCAUCGAUCUUGUCUGGUGAUAGCUGGAUGGUGCCAAGCACCAUGCUCUCCAUGAAUCUUGUGCUCAAUAAAUGUCAUUGAUUGAUGUAUGUGCUUCAUGCCUUGGGGAGGGAGAGGGAAGGAAAAGAAGGAGGAGAGAGUGGGAAUCUCUGCUUUUGGUAGACUUAGUCUUUCCUCUCUUCUGAGACAAUCCCUUAGCAAUACUACUUCUUUUGGCCUCAGUUUCCUUAUCAAUAAAAUGCAGGGGGUAGAUAAUCUCUGAUUCUUU